GAGGGUAUAGCUAAGUGGUAGAGUGCAUGCCUAGCAUGCACGAGGUCCUGGAUUCAAUCCCCAAUACCUCCA
This 72-nucleotide transfer RNA is filed under the name Camelus bactrianus (Bactrian camel). It matches the Rfam family "tRNA". Rfam says of the family: Transfer RNA (tRNA) molecules are approximately 80 nucleotides in length. Their secondary structure includes four short double-helical elements and three loops (D, anti-codon, and T loops). Further hydrogen bonds mediate the characteristic L-shaped molecular structure. tRNAs have two regions of fundamental functional importance: the anti-codon, which is responsible for specific mRNA codon recognition, and the 3' end, to which the tRNAs corresponding amino acid is attached (by aminoacyl-tRNA synthetases). tRNAs cope with the degeneracy of the genetic code in two manners: having more than one tRNA (with a specific anti-codon) for a particular amino acid; and 'wobble' base-pairing, i.e. permitting non-standard base-pairing at the 3rd anti-codon position. The record is from Rfam by way of RNAcentral. RNAcentral also lists the same sequence under 3 other names. Lineage: Eukaryota; Metazoa; Chordata; Mammalia; Artiodactyla; Camelidae.